Molecule: transfer RNA, 84 nt
Filed under: archaeon
Lineage: Archaea
Also listed under: 2 other names
Description: tRNA-Leu
Rfam family: tRNA
About the family: Transfer RNA (tRNA) molecules are approximately 80 nucleotides in length.
Source: RNAcentral
GCGGGGAUUCCAGAGCGGUCAAAUGGGCAUGGCUCAAGACCAUGUGGCUUAGUGCCUUCGUAGGUUCGAAUCCUACUCCCCGCA